UGGGGAAUAUUGCACAAUGGGCGCAAGCCUGAUGCAGCCAUGCCGCGUGUAUGAAGAAGGCCCUCGGGUUGUAAAGUACUUUCAGCGGGGAGGAAGGGAGUAAAGUUAAUACCUUUGCUCAUUGACGUUACCCGCAGAAGAAGCACCGGCUAACUCCGUGCCAGCAGCCGCGGUAAUACGGAGGGUGCAAGCGUUAAUCGGAAUUACUGGGCGUAAAGCGCACGCAGGCGGUUUGUUAAGUCAGAUGUGAAAUCCCCGGGCUCAACCUGGGAACUGCAUCUGAUACUGGCAAGCUUGAGUCUCGUAGAGGGGGGUAGAAUUCCAGGUGUAGCGGUGAAAUGCGUAGAGAUCUGGAGGAAUACCGGUGGCGAAGGCGGCCCCCUGGACGAAGACUGACGCUCAGGUGCGAAAGCGUGGGGAGCAAACAGG
RNAcentral lists this ribosomal RNA (429 nucleotides) under Chloroflexota bacterium. RNAcentral describes it as "Chloroflexi bacterium partial 16S ribosomal RNA". It matches the Rfam family "Bacterial small subunit ribosomal RNA", at positions 355 to 776 of the family's 1533-position model. Lineage: Bacteria; Bacillati; Chloroflexota. The record is from RNAcentral.